CUGCAACUCGCCUGCAUGAAGUCGGAAUUGCUAGUAAUCGCGGAUCAGCAUGCCGCGGUGAAUACGUUCCCGGGCCUUGUACACACCGCCCGUCACACCAUGGGAGUCGGUAACACCCGAAGCCGAUAGUCUAACGAAAGAGGACGUCGUCGAAGGUGGGAUUGAUGACUGGGGUGAAGUCGUAACAAGGUAGC
This 194-nucleotide ribosomal RNA is filed under the name uncultured bacterium. Its description in RNAcentral is "partial 16S ribosomal RNA". It matches the Rfam family "Bacterial small subunit ribosomal RNA", at positions 1305 to 1500 of the family's 1533-position model. The record is from RNAcentral.